AUUGUUUAAUUGUUUAUUCGUGCUUUCUUUUAAAGCAUUUUCAUUCGAAUUUUCCUUGUUAGAGAUAGAGCUAAAAAGCUUUGAAAUUUCUACAUGUUAGAAAAAAUUGUUUUAUAUUGUAUUGUCAUGUUGUCCCUUACGAGAAUUGCUCAUCAUUGUUUCAAUUUUUUUUCCUUUCCUAUAAAAUACUAAUUGCUAACUUUUUUUUCAAAAGUACAGUGGUUUAAAGUUGUUUGCUUAGAGAAAAUGUCAUUUGUUGACACAGUACAUAUGGCUGUUAACCGUAAUAUAAAUGACAACAAACAGGAGAAAGACUUCG
This is a non-coding RNA of Schizosaccharomyces pombe (fission yeast), 319 nucleotides long. NCBI's taxonomy places the organism in Eukaryota, Fungi, Ascomycota, Schizosaccharomycetes, Schizosaccharomycetales, Schizosaccharomycetaceae. The record is from the annotation of a GenBank genome assembly.